RNAcentral lists this ribosomal RNA (138 nucleotides) under uncultured eukaryote. RNAcentral's name for it is "partial 18S ribosomal RNA". It matches the Rfam family "Eukaryotic small subunit ribosomal RNA", at positions 1513 to 1650 of the family's 1831-position model. The record is from RNAcentral.
ACACGAGUUUUAUUCCUGGCUAGAAAUGGCUGGGCAAUCUGUUGAAACACUGUCGUGUCAGGAAUAGUGGAUUGAAAUUAUUCCACUUGAACGAGGAAUUCCUAGUAAGCGCAAGUCACUAGCUUGCGCUGAUUACGU